GGGUCAGUAGGUUGGUCGUGCCACCGGUACGUACUGGUCUCACUGAUUCCUCCUUCCUGAAGAACCGUAAUGACAUUAAUUUGGUGUUGCGGGGAAACAGGGCUGUUACUUUGAAAAAAUUAGAGUGUUUAAAGCAAGCUAACGCUUGAAUACAUUAGCAUGGAAUAAUGAAAUAGGACGAUCGAUCCUAUUUUGUUGGUUUCUAGGAUUGACGUA
RNAcentral lists this ribosomal RNA (216 nucleotides) under Glomeromycotina sp. Its description in RNAcentral is "partial small subunit ribosomal RNA". The stretch from base 40 to 216 matches the Rfam family "Eukaryotic small subunit ribosomal RNA", at positions 686 to 864 of the family's 1831-position model. The record is from RNAcentral. Lineage: Eukaryota; Fungi; Glomeromycota.